RNAcentral lists this ribosomal RNA (253 nucleotides) under uncultured bacterium. Its description in RNAcentral is "partial 16S ribosomal RNA". It matches the Rfam family "Bacterial small subunit ribosomal RNA", at positions 524 to 776 of the family's 1533-position model. The record is from RNAcentral.
UACGUAGGGACCGAGCGUUGUCCGGAAUCAUUGGGCGUAAAGAGCGUGUAGGCGGCUAUUUAAGUCCUGCGUGAAAUCCUGCGGCUCAACCGCAGACGGUCGUGGGAAACUGGAUGGCUAGAGUGCGGGAGAGGAGAGUGGAAUUCCCGGUGUAGCGGUGAAAUGCGCAGAUAUCAGGAGGAACACCGGUGGCGAAGGCGGGUCUCUGGGCAGUAACUGACGCUGAGGAGCGAAAGCGUGGGGAGCGAACAGG